Caenorhabditis elegans is the source of this 102-nucleotide microRNA precursor. The record is from Ensembl. NCBI's taxonomy places the organism in Eukaryota, Metazoa, Nematoda, Chromadorea, Rhabditida, Rhabditidae.
AUAAUAUUUCCCGCUGAGUAUCAGGAGUACCCAGUGAUCGCCUUCACAUAUUGGGAAGAAGUAUGUGAUUGCGUCCUGCAGUUCUUCCAUGAUGUACUCAGG